Molecule: long non-coding RNA, 363 nt
Filed under: Elaeis guineensis (African oil palm)
Lineage: Eukaryota; Viridiplantae; Streptophyta; Magnoliopsida; Arecales; Arecaceae
Description: long non-coding RNA (EGUI_LNC038262)
Source: RNAcentral
GAUAGCAAUGUAUUGAAUAAAGGCAAUUGAUUAUGAUGGAGCUAGUUUUGUUACUAGAAAUAUAAGCAGUAUGCUAGUGAUAGAUGGGGGAGUCUAUUUGUUUGAGAUGAUGGUGCCAAUUGAUGAGUUAAAUGACACAUGGGAAGAUUGAAAUUUAUAGUGCUGCAUUUGAUGGUGACCCAUACUAUAUCCUUGAAGUUGACUUAUUGACGGUGAUUAGAUGACUUUUUAGUUAAUCAGAAACUAGUCCUCAUUCAUUAUUAUGCGAUUGUUGGAGAAUGAUUGAUUCUUUUAAUCUUGUCUUAUAAGGUUAAACACAUGUACAAAGAAUCUAAUAGUAUAGUUGAUUAAUUGGAUGGUGAU